Molecule: unclassified non-coding RNA, 693 nt
Filed under: Peltigera hymenina
Lineage: Eukaryota; Fungi; Ascomycota; Lecanoromycetes; Peltigerales; Peltigeraceae
Description: sequence contains ITS1, 5.8S rRNA gene and ITS2
Rfam family: 5.8S ribosomal RNA (bases 267-421)
Source: RNAcentral
UUUCCGUAGGUGAACCUGCGGAAGGAUCAUUAUUGAGGGCGUAUGGGCUUAAUAACCCCUGCGAACCCCCCAAUCCUUUGUUUAUUGUCCCUUUGUGGUUUGCUUGGGCAUAAAGCUGUGGGGAUAAAAAAGACUAUGAACCCCUAUGAAAGGGGGCGAAAUGGAUUCUUCUUGGUCUCACACACAAAGCAUUGAGUUGCCCAGAAGACUACCUAAAUUAAAAUUCAAUAAUUUUUGAUGUCUGAACAAUUGUAUAAAACAAGCAAAACUUUCAACAACGGAUCUCUUGGUUCCGGCAUCGAUGAAGAACGCAGCGAAAUGCGAUAAGUAAUGUGGACCGCAGUACUCAGCGACUCAUCGAAUCUUUGAACGCAUAUUGCGCCCCGUGGUGACCCCAUAGGGCACACCUGUCCGAGCGUCAUUGGCCAAAACUUUUUUACUUUACAGGUUGUAUAUAGAGGUUGUCAUAGGAAUUCGGUAUUUAUUUGAGCUUAUCUGCUUUAGGCAGAAGUUUUAAAGUUAGUGACGGUUCUGAUAAGUGUUCCAACGUAGUAAUAAUUAAAUCGUUGGUAAGAAUGCUUUUCUAAAACUAGUCAAAAACCAUAUGAUAUUCUAGGGUUUCUGCUGGCAGAAACCUGGUUGGAUGUCCCAAAUAAUGACCGCGGAUCAGGUGAGGAUACCCGCUGAAUUUAA